Salvia miltiorrhiza (redroot sage) is the source of this 423-nucleotide long non-coding RNA. RefSeq lists it as uncharacterized. Lineage: Eukaryota; Viridiplantae; Streptophyta; Magnoliopsida; Lamiales; Lamiaceae. The transcript has 2 exons. The record is from RefSeq and is a predicted model, not a curated record.
AUGAUUUAAUUGGUUUUAUUUAUAAUUCCAAUUAUUAAAGAAAGACGAGUAAGAAUAUUGUUGGUGUUCUUAACUCAAGAGAAAUGUUUUCAAUUAUUUACUAAAUUUUGAAAACCCGGCUAAGUGAAUCAUAGAAUGUUAAGCACUACACCAUGACUUAAGAUUAGAUUCAAGGAGACCUAUUGAGAAUAGAUUUCUUGUAGGCUUUGAGCAUCAGAAGGAUUAGCACUGCUAUUCCGAUUCAGAGAUAAGGUUAAACGACAGGCUUUGCCUAUACAGGUUGGCUGGCCGGUGCUGACGGGACGGAGCUGAGGCUAGCGAUAAAUUCCUAUGUUAGACUUCCGCUGUAGCAAUUACUCAUAUCAGUCUUUUGUUUUUCCAACUUAAGAUCUUCAUGUUAAAUUUCAAAUGAUAUACCUGACC